This 410-nucleotide RNase P RNA is filed under the name Burkholderia cepacia. RNAcentral's name for it is "RNase P RNA component class A". It matches the Rfam family "Bacterial RNase P class A". From Rfam's summary of the family: Ribonuclease P (RNase P) is a ubiquitous endoribonuclease, found in archaea, bacteria and eukarya as well as chloroplasts and mitochondria. Its best characterised activity is the generation of mature 5'-ends of tRNAs by cleaving the 5'-leader elements of precursor-tRNAs. Cellular RNase Ps are ribonucleoproteins. Lineage: Bacteria; Pseudomonadati; Pseudomonadota; Betaproteobacteria; Burkholderiales; Burkholderiaceae. The record is from RNAcentral.
AAAGCAGGCCAGGCAGUCGCGGCCUCGCCGCCUUCGGGCGCGCGGGGCGAGGAAAGUCCGGACUCCACAGGGCAGGGUGAUGGCUAACGGCCAUCCGUGGCGACACGCGGAACAGGGCAACAGAAAGCAAACCGCCGAUGGCCCGGCGCAAGCCGGGAUCAGGUAAGGGUGAAACGGUGCGGUAAGAGCGCACCGCGGCGACGGCGACGUUCGCCGGCACGGUAACCUCCACCCGGAGCAAUUCCAAGUAGGCAGGCGCGCAUCUUCGGAUGCAGGAUGGGGCCCCGUCUCGUCUGCGGGUAGGAAGCUUGAGCGCGUCAGCAAUGGCGCGCCUAGAGGAAUGGCUGCCACGCGUUGCGUGCUUCGGCGCGCAGCGUGCACAGAAUCCGGCUUAUCGGCCUGCUUUGCCG